Small nucleolar RNA from Eptesicus fuscus (big brown bat), 142 nucleotides. Lineage: Eukaryota; Metazoa; Chordata; Mammalia; Chiroptera; Vespertilionidae. The record is from RefSeq and is a predicted model, not a curated record.
CCCCCACCACCCCAGUGUCUGUGUCCAUUAGUUACGCUAAUAUACCCACUGAGCCGUCAAGAAAGGGCAAAGUAAAAACACCGCUUUUGGGUGAAGCAGCAGCAUGUUGUGUUGUUUUGCUUCAAUUGGUGGUGUGACAAGG